This 356-nucleotide ribosomal RNA is filed under the name uncultured bacterium. RNAcentral describes it as "bacterial SSU rRNA". It matches the Rfam family "Bacterial small subunit ribosomal RNA", at positions 32 to 381 of the family's 1533-position model. The record is from RNAcentral.
AAUCAACGCUGGCGGCGUGCCUAACACAUGCAAGUCGAACGCGAAAGGGGCUUCGGCCCUGAGUAGAGUGGCGUCCGGGUGAGUAACGCGUGGGUAAUCUACCUUCGGGUGGGGAAUAACCAGUCGAAAGGCUGGCUAAUACCGCAUAAUGCAGCGGCACGACAUCGUGACAGUUGUUAAAGGAGCAAAUCCGCCUGAAGAGGAGCCUGCGUCUGAUUAGCUUGUUGGGAGGUAAUGGCUCACCAAGGCUACGAUCAGUAGCUGGUCUGAGAGGACGGCCAGCCACAAUGGCACUGAAACACGGGCCAUACUCCUACGGGAGGCAGCAGUGGGGAAUUUUGCGCAAUGGGCGAAAG